AAAGUUCGAUUACCAGAUUGAACGCUGGCGGGAUGCUUUACACAUGCAGGUCGAACGGUAGCAGGACUUGAAACCAGGAGAGGCGAACGGGUGAGUAAUGUAUCGGAACGUGCCUAGUAGCGGGGGAUAACUACGCGAAAGCGUAAAAAUAAUAAUGCGGGCUAAUGUACCCUUCGGGGGAAAGCGGGGGACCUUCGGGUCUCGCACUAUUAGAGCGGCCGAUAUCGGAUUAGCCAGUUGGUGGGGUAACGGCUCACCAUGACGAUCCGUAGCUGGUUUGAGAGGACGACCAGCCACACUGGGACUGAGACACGGCCCAGACUCCUACGGAGGCAGCAGUGGGGAAUUCUUGACAAUGGGGAAACCCCGAUCCAGCCAUCCUGGGCAAAAGCGAUGAAGGCCUUCGGUUGUAAAGCACUUUUGGCAGGAAAGAAACGGCACGGAUAACACCGUGCAACUGACGGUACCUGCAGAAUAAGCACCGGCUAACUACGCAGCCAGCAGCCGCGGUAAUACGUAGGGGUGCAAGCGUUAAUCGGAAUUACUGGGCGGAAGCGUGCGCAGGCGGUUCGGAAAGAAAGAUGGAACUCAGAGCUUAACCCUUUAAACUGCAUUUUUAACUACUGAGCUAGAGUGUGUCAGAGGAGGUGGAAUUCGCGUGUGUAGCAGUGAAAUGCGUAGAUAUGGAGGAACACCGAUGAAGUAAGGCAGCCUCCCCUGGGACAACACUGACGCUCAUGCACGAAAGCGUGGGGAGCAAACAGGAUUAGAUACCCUGGUAGUCCACGCCCUAAACGAUGUCAACUAACAAGCUGGGGCUCUUCGGGCCUUGGUAGCGCAGCUAACGCGUGAAGUUGACCGCCUGGGGAGCAUGGUCGCAAGAGAUUAAAACUCAAAGGAAUUGACGGGACCCGCACAAGCGUGGUGGAUGAUGUGGAUUAAUUGAUAACGCGAAAACCUUACCUACCCUUGACAUGUUCAAAUCCCGAAGAGAUUUGGGAUAGUUUAAAAGAGAACCGAACACAGGUGCUGCAUGGUUGUCGUCAGCCCGUGUCAGAGAUGUUGGGUUAAGUCCUGCAACGAGCGCAACCCUUGUCAUUAGUUGCUACGAAAGGGCACUCUAACGAGACUGCCGAUGACAAACCGGAGGAAGGUGGGGAUGACGUCAUCCUCAUGGCCCUUAUGGGUAGGGCUUCUUACACGUCAUGCCAAAUGGUCGGGACAGAGGGUCGCCAACCCGCGAGGGGGGAGCCAAUCCCAGAAACCCGAUCGUAGUCCGGAUCGCAGUCUGCAACUCGACUGCGUGAAGUCGGAAUCAUAGCAAUCGCGGAUCAGCAUGUCGCGGUGAAUACGUUCCCGGUCUUGUACAACGCCCGUCACACUACAAGUGGGCUUCACCAGAAGUAGUUAGCCUAACCGUAAGGAGGCGAUUACCACGGUAGGAUUCGCGAUCAGUAAGUCAAAAUAAGGUAA
This 1473-nucleotide ribosomal RNA is filed under the name uncultured Bordetella sp. RNAcentral's name for it is "partial 16S-23S ribosomal RNA intergenic spacer". It matches the Rfam family "Bacterial small subunit ribosomal RNA". Lineage: Bacteria; Pseudomonadati; Pseudomonadota; Betaproteobacteria; Burkholderiales; Alcaligenaceae. The record is from RNAcentral.